Molecule: ribosomal RNA, 1134 nt
Filed under: Triticum aestivum (bread wheat)
Lineage: Eukaryota; Viridiplantae; Streptophyta; Magnoliopsida; Poales; Poaceae
Description: partial small subunit ribosomal RNA
Source: RNAcentral
AUGGCUGCCAUGUGCGCAAAGGUCAUCGCCAUCCUUCUUCUAUUUCUCCGGCUCGCACGGUUGUCCUCCUCCAGUUCCAUGGUGUUCGAGCUCCGGGGCAACGUCUAUCCUAUUGGCGGCCUCACGUGGCUGGAGUGCGACGCCCCUCGCCAGAGCUUCCACAAGACCACGAUCGAGCAACAGGGUGCCAUGCGAGGACGACGUUGUGCCGUGAUGCACAAGGACCUGGGCACCGUGCACGACUGCACCGAGCAUCCAGACCAAUGCGACUACGACAUAAAUUACAAGGACGGCUACUCAUCCAUGGGCGUGCUCUUAACCGACAAGUUCUCCCUCCCCAUGCGCAACGACCGCCCCAACCUUGCCUUCGGCUGCGGAUAUGACCAGCAAGGUGAAAAAGAAGAGCUGGAGGUGGACGGCAUCCUCGGGAUCGGUAGGGGAACGGGAGACCUCGUCUCGCAGCUCAAGCAACAAGGGUUGAUCACCGAGAAUGUGGUUGGCCAUUGCCUCAGCAGCCAUGGAGGGGGCUACCUCUUCUUUGGGGGCGACGUGCCCUCUACUGGUGUAACCUGGCUUCCCAUGGUUCAAGAGUACACGAUUUACUACUCACCUGGCAAAGUAACAUGGAACCUCGACGUACUACUGAAAUACGAGUUAAGCAAAACGCCGAGGGUUGCUGUCUUUGACAGUGGUAGCGCCUACUCAUAUGUGCAUAAGGACACAUACGAGCUGCUUAUUCAGGCGGUGGAUGUCACUCUCCAGGAUUCAACACUUCAGAAGGUGCCUGACGAUCCUGAACUGACUCAAUGCUGGAGAUACAACCAACCAAUCCAAUCUGUCGACGAUGUCAAGCAUGAAUUCGAACCACUCGAAUUGACCUUUACCCAUGGCGCUAGCCAGGUCACUCUGGACAUCCCUCCUGAAAAUUAUAUUGUUGUCACGGAAAGAGGAAAUGUGUGCUUGGGCAUCCACAAUGGUUCAGAACACGGGAUGGGGGAAUUGAACAUAAUUGGAGACAUUACAAUGCAGAAUCAUCUCGUGGUAUAUGACAAUGAGAGAGCGCGAAUCGGAUGGGUUCGUGCAUCGUGCGAUAUAAUGCCGGGGUCUGCACCUAUCAUCGCUUCGCGUCUCUAA